UAAAUUGAGAGUUUGAUCCUGGCUCAGGACGAACGCUGGCGGCGUGCCUAACACAUGCAAGUCGAGCGAUGAAGCCUUCGGGGCGAUUAGGCGGCGGACGGGUGAGUAACA
Molecule: non-coding RNA, 111 nt
Filed under: Clostridium sp. BL8
Lineage: Bacteria; Bacillati; Bacillota; Clostridia; Eubacteriales; Clostridiaceae
Description: Bacterial small subunit ribosomal RNA
Rfam family: Bacterial small subunit ribosomal RNA
Source: Rfam by way of RNAcentral